CAUUCAAUUCAAAGGAACCACGUACAGGAUGGUUAAAGGAAUUUUCAUUGGUGUUGCACGGUACAAAGGAUCCACCAUAUAGAAUGCUGUCUCCAACUUCACCACAUUCGAAAUUGGCUAUUGUUAAAAAGGCUCAUGAGGACCAGGACAAAAUGUAAAGCUUCGUUGCGCGUGCAUAAAAUGGUUUGAACUUUUCAUGUUUCAAUCAAGCUAGGAAUUGUACUGGUGUUGCGUUGUAAGUAGAACGGGUGAUCUUUUCUGAUCAGGAUUGUAAAGAACAUGUAAAGUUGAAACCUUUUCCCAAACAAGCAAAAUGAUCAACAAUUAUAUCAAUUGUUAUUUGAAAGUUUGAAGUUUAUUGUUUCGACAUUUUUUUAUGUGGGGGAGAGUAGUCUACAAUAAGACGCUUUUUUAACGAUUAGAAAAGGUGGAAAUAAAAAAAACAUGUAUCUUACAUGAAAAAUUCAGUAGGAUUUCUGGUUACUCAAAUAUAAAAAAUAAUAUGGAAAUUGGGCACAAUGCUAGUAAGUUAUGAUUUUAAAUACACAACUGGGAUUUUGUCUUAUGUCAGAGUCACAUAAGUGUUUAGAUUCAGUACGACUCACUAUGAAGUCACACAAUAUUUCAAAUCUUGAAUAAGCAUGACAUUUAUUGAGAGUUGACCUAUUCUAAUUUCCAGAAUAUUUGUUUUUCAUUUUACUUCUUUUCAACAUUAUAUCAAUACAUUAUGAAGCAUAUUUUUUGGAACUUUAACUUUUAUGAAUAGGGUUGAUGGUUUAGUAAUAGUGGAGAUCCUAAAGUUGCCAUAUGAAUUUGUUUCAUUGGAGAAAACCAUUAAUUGCAGAAUUGGUAGAUUUACAUCAUUAUGUUAAUUUUUUGAAUUUAUAAGCGUUAAAAAUAUGGGAAAAUAUAAAUUUUCCAUAUCACUGUUAUGGGAGUGUUUCUGUAAUUCGCCAAUGCACUCGAUAAUAAUAUUUACAUUUUUCGAUAAUAAAUCACAGGUAGUCAUGACGCAGUAGGUCUAUUUUUCAUCCGCGACAUUUUCGAUACUGAAAUGUCAUGAUUAUCUGAUAUUUCCGGACUGAUUUGAGAUUUGCGCGUAACUGUUUUUUUAAACAAUUACGUCAAUCACCAAUUUCUCGCGAAUAAAAGCUCAAUCUAGCAAACUAGCAAUCAGAUAGGGGAGUGAUUUGUUUAGCAGUAGGUAUAGUUUGUUUGCGAAAUAUUGUUUACAGAAACCCAAAUCUUAAAUCAGUAAUGAUUUUUCAAAUCAUGUAAAUCACCAUGCAGCGAAGAGUAGUAUAAUAUCAAUGAAAAACCAAUGAGUUCUUCAACUAUGUGAAGCAGACCUAGCAACUAUCGCAACGAAAGGAACUUGGUUCUUAUUAAUUGUGGACGAGCUUUCCAAUAAUAAUGAUGUAAUAAUAUUCAAAUAAAAUAGAGGAAUGCAGUGAACUUAAAUCAGAGUCAUUUAUCAAUUUAAAAUAAUAAUAGUUCAUAUUUCCACUAUUACUGACUCCCUGUAAUUCAUCAAUGAUUUUUGCUAGUUCGUCUAUUAGUUACGAGUGGUUCGGCUCAUAUUUUUGAAAGGGACACCUAAAUCCUAUGAUCCAUUAAAGCAUCACACAAAUGAAUAAAAUUCAGACAUCUUCAGACAGAUACUCAAGCAGGGUUCAAAGUAGCUCUUAAUAUCAAAUCGGAGCAUAAUUAUUUUUAUUCAAUGGUGUUACAAUUAAGUUUCCAGCUGCCUUUACUGUCAUUAUACGCAUAACUGUCCUAUGUUCUUUGGAAUCCUUAUGCACCGUGGGACUCUUAUACAUAUAACGGCAGUUUAGCUGUGCCUAAAACUCAAAUGUCUCAUUGUUCUUUUCGUCUUAUUCCUGACGACCUUUCGUUACCGAACCAUGGUGUAGGACUUUUUAUCUUUUUACACCCGAACCUUGGCUUGAUGGCGCUAUAUUCCCUGUUUAUUAUUGUAAUUAUUUCCUUUCCAUUGUAGCACAGGUGAUUAAAGCCUUUUUCUAUAUAGUAGCGAAGAAAACAUAUCAAGAUGACUGGCAAACCAUCCGUUAUCUCAUACGACCACUAUAAGACAUCUACAUUACCGUUCCAAGGUAACUGCAUCGAACGAAUAUGAUAGCAUAGAUUUCAACUGCAUAAGAGAGGUUUGCGUAUCUGCUUACUUUUCUAUGCAUUGCUUCCAGUUUUGAUUAAGCCUAGUGCUAUUGUAUCUGUCCUUUGGAUACUGGCAAGGUUUCCAGUCAUCUUGAAUGUGAUUUUGUCAAUAGCAUUGUGAAACUCCAUGCGAUUUUUGUGAAGCAUUCAUUACAUAGUCUAUAUGCUUAGUAUAUUUCUUCUAUGGCUGGGCAGAGCAGAAAAUGUAAAUUAAAAUUUGAUUCCAUAUUUCCCACCUCAUUGGACUUCGAAUUUUCCAAUGUGUGGCUGAAAAUAAAACAAGCAGAUGAAAUGAUGAGAUUCUGUCAAAACCUAUUGUUCUUGUGGUUGAUUCUGAAUCGGUACCACAAUAUUUUUUUUAAUUUUAGUAUCGUAUUUGUACUAAUACAACAAAAAAAAACUAUGAAAUGCAGUAUUAGUUUAAGUUCCAUGGCCUGAAAUUAGCCUAAAUACCAGUUUUAUUAUUUCUGGUGCAUGCUACAUGUCUUUUAGCCAGUGGAGUAUAUGAAGUAUAGAAGUUUCUUAAUUCUAAUGUUUAAGUGUAGUAAAAUUAGUGGUAAAAUCGCUCCACAAAAUGUGUCAGGAUGUGAUCCAUUUUGGCAAAAUGAUAGCUAAAUCUAUUGUCUAACUGUCAGAUUUGCUGAAACUGAUGAAGUCCUGAUGCAUUGUGCGUGGCUCUAAAGUAUAAGUGCGAUAAAACCUUGUAUAUCCGAUCGUUUUACCGCACAUAUAUUUAGAGAGACUCAUUUUACAACACUCAUGUAUUUCGCGAAGCUUUUAGAUAUAUGUAUGGUGCCCUCGCACCACCAACCCGAAGUCGCGAGUGACCUGCGAUGCGAAGUUGCAAAUGCUUCGAUGUUAAGGCCGGCGCACAAUAGAUUCGUUUUCAGGUUUUUUGACAGUUAGCCCAUUAUCUGUCAAAAAACCCGAAAACGUAUGCAUUGUGCGCCGGCCUUUACGCAAUAGGCAAUUAAAACUUGACCUCCAGCGGCCAUCUUGAAAAACGGCUUGAUGAUGCAGAUUUUAAAAUUUUACACGACUAAGUAUGUGAGAGAAGUUUUAAAUCGCUUAUAUUUUUCGAAUGAAACACCUUAAAUUCACUUAAGUGUUACUGUGGGGGAUAAAAAGUCUGAAACUACUUUUUGAACCAUUUCCAUCAAAUAUAUUAUUUAAAUUUAGAAUAUUUAAUAUAAUACGUCUAUUGAGUAGCCCUUGAGGCUUUAUCACUCAUAGAAUCAUCGAAAGAAAAAUAAUAGCUUUAUUUGAGAAAUAGACAAAUAUUUUAAUUUUAAUCCCAUACCUCACCAUGCAAAAUGUUGAAACCUGCAUCAUCAAGCCUUUUUGCAAGAUGGUCUAAAAAUUCAAUGUUUUGCACUCGACAGUUCGAACUUCAAUCGUCGAUGUCCCCCCUAAACGACAACUCAAUCACGCAAACCAACAACACCAUAGCAAAAAAGAAUGCUAAGAAAAAAACAUUCUAUUUUAGUGUCGUCUUUCACGGUCCCUUUCAUCCAAUGAAUACGCAAGGUGUUUUUGUGCAUAUGCUGCCCCCUCGGUAGAGUUAAAAUUUUGUCACACCAAAAAUCAGAGAUGUCCCAUUUUGUAAUUACUCGAUUAAUACCUAGCUUAAGUGAAGUAAAACUGUACUAAACCGUUGCCAAGCUAGACUAACGACAUACAUACUGUCGCCUAAAAAAAAAAGAUCACAACGAUUGAACGCUAGCAUGCAUUUUUUAUAUCAGUAUAUUUCAAAUAUACUACACAUAUAUAACCUUCAACUUAGCAUACAUAAAUUCAAAUCUCUCUCCUUUAACUUAAUUACCACUCAAAUUUGUCACGAAUAUGACUGAAAAACAGUUGGCACACACGUUUUAGUUCCAGAACUUAUGGAGUCCCGGGUAUGCGUUUAAGCCCUGAUAUUGAACGGAUUUUCCAAGCAUGGUUUCUUUGAACCUCUAUACUGUUACUUUUCAUUCACUCGAAGAGAUUUCAGACUUUAAAAGAUAACACAUGAAUUUAUACAGAUUAAUGAACUCCUCCAUUUUCACGUCAAUGGCCACUUGAAAUCGAAAAGAAUUAAAUUUUCUAAUCCUACUAUCAAUACAAGCUGACACACAAUGCACACUUCAAAACCAACAACAAAUAUUAAUUUUACCCAUUAAAAAUUGCAUGUAAAAUUGGGGGCAGUUACUCUGAAUCACCCUGUGAAAUCUAUUGGUAUAUAUUUUAAAUUCUACUAAAUACUAAGUGCCAAAGUGGGAAAUGGCUACGGAAAAUUAAUUUACCGAACUGUUCUGCAAUUCAAAAAUAACUGGGUAGUUGCCCAUGUCAAGUUAGUGUGUAAGGUUCUCUAUAAAUUCAAAGAGAAUUAUUGUCACAAAAGUACUACCGAUGCGUUACGGGUUUUGUCUUAAUAGGCAAUACUUCAGAACUUUACACUUGCUCAUAACAUUCACAGUUUUUCAGUUGUUAAUUAGGUGAUUCGUACUGCUUCUGACAACACUCACCACCAGAGGGUUAGCCGACUUCGAUCGUGUGGGCUGGUGGAAUUCACUUUUAAUUGAAUAUAUCGAUAAUGGUGCACUAUGUCCGUUAUAUUAUCUCUACAUGAUGUCGCUAUUACUACAAAUAACAAAAUAUAGAAAUUUGCUCAUCGAAAGAAGAAAAAUCGUAGAUUUUCUGAAAAUUUCCAAAAUUUCAAAACUGUUUUAUUCACCACUGGCAGGGUGACAUCUAUCGAUUUUGACGGUGGAAAGUAGUAUUCAAUUGAUUGCUCUCAAACCUGUACCAUUUGGUAUUUUCUGUAAAUGAUUCUUCAUGCGAUGCGACGCGAUGUCUCGAUCGGACCGAAAUUUUCUCCAGCAUUGUUUUACUUUGUAGCCGCGCCAUUACUGACCAAGCUAAGGGAGAACCUUCAUCUGAUCCCUAAAAUUACUGUGGAAAUUAACAUUGUAGAACUACGCGAACUGCGUUUCAACCCCAUUACUCCCAUCAAUCAGAGUAGAGAAACUGUAGACAUUUCGUAGCCCCCUCACUCCACAUGAGUCUACAAGUAUAGUUUAUACACAGACCACAAUCGUAACUGUAUUUGCAUUUAUUUUCAAGUCAUUAUGUUUCCAGAUAAGCUGUUCAAGAGUUAUGAACAAGCAUGGAUUUGAAUAAAUAGUAUAAGUAUUCGAGAUCCUUUGGUACGAUUUAUGCGGUAAACUAUUUUGAAAUAAACUUCCGCAAAUAUUUGGAAACCUAUGCAUAUUUGGCUGUUAUUUCUUACUUUAUUUGAUUUACAGAAAUUUUUGAUAAUCCAACUAUAAGUUAACAGGAGUGUAUUGUAAGCAGUACAGUGAAGUUUCGUUGGUUAAUCUAACUACGUCAACAUUAUUCAUGGCUAAUGUUUUUUUUGUAAUUAGAUUUGACAUUUGCUUCUUCUUAGUUGAACUGUAGACCAAUCUAAAAUUGCCCUACCAGCGAGAUUUUGAAUAUACUUGAGCAGUUUCCAGGACUAGAGUAAGAGAGAUCUUUAUAUAUUUUUUAAUAAGCCCCAGUGACAUAUCUAGGGUCUUUUGAACUUAGUUGAGCUCCUUAUUAAAAUUUGGUUAAUAUUCAUGCACAGAAGCAACUAGUAUUAAAUCGCUCAAACAUGAUUCCAACGUUAGAAAUUCUCAAUCCACAAAAGAAGAUGAAAUAAAAACAUAUUAUAACCCACAUGAAGUAAAAGGGCUUGUAAACAACAUAACGUAAGAUACCUUUCUAAACCAUUUGUGUUUUUGGGGGGCCAAACAUUUGUUAGAUAUUUCAUUAUUUUCAGUUAUUUUUUAUCAAAUUAAUAUAUGAAAAGCAGAUGUUAUAUUGCAUACACGAAAUACACUGUUUUUACCUAAACAAAACAAA
Molecule: long non-coding RNA, 6063 nt
Organism: Ochlerotatus camptorhynchus
Lineage: Eukaryota; Metazoa; Arthropoda; Insecta; Diptera; Culicidae
Exons: 2
Source: RefSeq, a predicted model, not a curated record